UUUUUCCUUUUUCUUUUUCCUUUUUCUUUCUUUUCCCUAUUUCCUUCUUCCUCCCCGUGCGUCCUUCCCCUUCUCCCCAGCCGCAACCGCCGCGCCUCUUCUCCUUCCUCCCGUACGCCGCGACGACUCCACCGUCUCCUUCUCCCUUCCCUUCCGUUUCCUUCCCGCCGCAGCCCAGCCGCAACCAGUCGUCUUUCUCUUCCGUUUUCUUUCCGUCGCAGCCCAGCCGUAGCCCGCGAUCUGCCGUCUCCAUCUCCGGCUCGCGAAGCAACCUUGCAGCAGUCAUCCCGCAUGCCGAUCUGCCGUCUCCAUCGCCGGUUCUGUCUUCGUCGAAGCCCGAGCCGCCGUGUGAACCAGUAACCGCCACGUUCGCCGCUCACAACCGCCGUAAAGCCAGCCGCGCAACCUUCGUUCCAACCGCUGCACUGCCGCGCGAUUCUCCGGCCACGUCUUCUUUAGCCGACCGCUGACCGACCCACACUUAGGAUUUUGCUGCGAGUUCGACAGUCGUGCGUUGAGUGUUGGGAGUAACCUUGGGCUCCCUUAAAUUCACAACCAAAUUGUGAAUUGUUGAGGGUUCAGUUCGCCAAUAUUUCGGAUUUGAUUCAUUGGAUUUAGUCGAUUGAAGAAUUUGCAUAGAAAUCGAGAAGUGAAUUGUGAGUUUACUGAAUUUGGUAAAUUUAGAAGCAUUCCUCUGUGCAUCCUCUAGUAGAUUUUGGAUUUUCCUCUUCCACUGUAAUGGAAUUGGACCGAGAAAAGUUAAUGUGUUCCAGUUAUUUUACGGUGCUGGCACUUACAUGUUUGGAAUUGAUGAUGAACGAAUAAUUGAUGCUACAAGGGCUGGAAGCAUUGCUCAUCUGAUCAACCACUCUUUCGAAUAACUGUUGCUCCUCACAGAAGUGUUCAAGGAUAAAUAAAGGUUCAUAUUAGAAGUGGACGUCCAUUAGUUUUGGGGAUAGACUUUAGUUUUGGUAUCUCCAAUUGAGAAUUUAGCCAUUGUGCUUACUCUUUAUGGAGUAUCUAAAGACAAGAAAUCGACACUCCAAUGCUAUGAAAAUUUUCCUAUAAGCUGAUGAUAUGUGGGGAAGAUAUUCAUAGUUCAUCUUUAUUGGCGAUGAUUGCAUAAUACAAACUGUUUAACUCUAAGGAUUACAAAUUGUCGUACAUGUAUUGUCGUAGGCUGUUUUGUUCUAAGGACUAGGAACAACCCAAGAAGUUGUUCAAUUUGCAGUGGCCAUUUGAUUUUAAAGAGUUGAAGAUAACAAUCGAUGAGACAUUGAGCUUUGAGUUAUGUGAGAGUUCUUUUUUAACUGAGUUUAAUAGGUAACUGCUUAGAUUCUUCUGCUAAAGUUCAAAAUGUCCACACCUCCCAAGGAAUAACUCACGGUUUCUUAGGAAGAGUUCGAUAUAUAUGUGACUGGCUCAUGAAAUUAUGGUAUUUGGUGCCAUACUGCAUUGGGAUAUGAAUCUUCUUGCAAUCAAAUAACUACAGAAGGUUCAACUGGAGUCGACAAGUUCAUGAGUUUUGUUUCAAAUAUCAUUUCCAGAAACGAACAUUCUCGGUUGGUCCAGUCAAAUAUAUUCGAAUGCUAUUUAAGAUAUUUUUUGUAUUUCGUACAUGUGGAUUACUGAAACUUGUAUUAAGAUGUACAAAUAUUAUAAAUCGUAUUAUAGUGUAUAUAUAUUAAAGUGUUGGCUAUUUUCUUGUACAUUGGUGUGAAACUUGUAUAAUUUCAAAUUUGUCAUUCUCAGCUA
Cucumis sativus (cucumber) is the source of this 1755-nucleotide long non-coding RNA. RefSeq lists it as uncharacterized. The transcript has 9 exons. The record is from RefSeq and is a predicted model, not a curated record. Lineage: Eukaryota; Viridiplantae; Streptophyta; Magnoliopsida; Cucurbitales; Cucurbitaceae.